Molecule: ribosomal RNA, 332 nt
Filed under: Diplocentrus zacatecanus
Lineage: Eukaryota; Metazoa; Arthropoda; Arachnida; Scorpiones; Diplocentridae
Description: partial 12S ribosomal RNA
Source: RNAcentral
UAAAAAUUAUAAAAUUAAGUAGUAAAGAAUUUUCCGAAACUUAAAGAAUUUGGCGGUAUUUUAAAUAAUUGGAGGAACCUGUUAUUUAAUUGACAUUACACAUCUCAUCUUUCCUAACUUUUGUUUGUAUAUCGUUGUUUUCAGAUAAUAUUUAAAAAUUAUUAUCAAGAAUAAUUUAUUUUUAUAAAUCAAAUCAAGGUGCAGCAUACUUAGGUAUUAAUGGGUUACAAUAUAUGUUAUAUAUUACGAAUAAAUUUUGAAAUAAUAGUGAAGGUGGAUUCAAAAGUAAUUUGAAAUUAUAAUGUUCAUAUGAUUUAUAAUUUAAAAUAUGC